UCUGACUCCGGGAGGCUAUAUAAGGAGCUACUGGCUGCGCACUUCGGUCUUUUACGUCGGCCUUCGCGAGCGUCUGGGCGGGUGGUAGGAACAAUGGCGCUGUCUUCAGUGGCACAGUGGAGCAGCUCUGAAGAUGCAAAGAUACACGAAAAAACUUCCAGAACAUCUGGGAGAAUAUUUAAUGGAAAAUCGCUUGGUUAAAACCUGACACUUUUAACAGUGAACAGCGUUCUGAGUGUGGACGAGUAGCCAGUGAAGAUAAUGAAUGUCGAAUGUGACUGACUAGCAGCUUCAUUUUGAAUGAGGGUCGCUGUCUGCCCAUUGAUAGAGGCCAGAUUGUCUUGGAAGUUCCAAAGUUGCAACGAUUUCUGGCUAGUGCCACGAGGUUUACUUGACUGUUGUGUGAAAAGCUGAUAAGAAAACCAUCCAGAAAAAAGCUCUUCGUUUUACAAACAUGAAAAUAAAACAUGUAAUUUUGGAUUAUGUUCCUUUUUGUUAUUACUUUUAAAUAGGUCCUGAAAUAACAUGGGGAGCAUUAAAUGGAAAAUCCACUAACCAGCCUUGUAAUCAAAUUACUGUGAGUGAAUGUUUCGGGUUUGUGCAGGGUACAAUGUAAGGGUUUUUGGAUCAGUGUAAGAGUGGAGAGACAGGAAUUAGAAGUAAUUGUUACUAAGCAAAUCAUGGAAUAUUUAGUUUUGAUGUAACUAUAAUUUUGAAAGCCUGGAUGCUUAAGUUGAGAAAUGGGGGAAUGAGAUACAGAAAAUAAGGAGCACAAUAGAAUAAUAAUAGCAGUUUAUUAAGUAUGGUCAUGAGGGAAGGUUACUGAUAAAACAAUCUGGUAAAGACAUUCAGGCUUGCUAAAAUCUAGGAAGAGGUCAUUUGGCAGGAUGGGUUACAUAAUGCUAUCUGAUACUACCAAAUAAAAUGAGAGAGAAGCCUUAGGCAUGUAACGUUUGGAGAUAGAAAAUGUACCUUCACUAUGAAGGUAGUGUGUGUAAGAUGGCAGUUGAAAGCAUUGCUUGUGUUUAUGUUUAUACCCUUGAUCUCUGAUGCCCUUACCUACCGUACUUAAAACUCUGUUAAUCAUUGUCUUUCUCCCCCUCCCACAACUUCUGCAUAAAAUUUUAAGAUCUGUGUUUCAUUAGUUCAAGAGUGCCUAGAAUAGGGCCAGGCACUGUUAUACAGUAUGUGGUAAAAGACUAUUGAGAUUCCAGUUUUCAAGGAAGAGUGCCAUUACCGUUUUGUUAAAGCUGGCAAACAAGACAAAGUUGUGAAAUAGACUGGUUGCUUUGGAGCCCUCUGACCGCUUUUCCUGUAGCUCCUUCUACCUCCCUUGCCUCCCAAUAGAUUUUUUAAUAUGUCACAUUAUCUAUCGAAAUU
This 1380-nucleotide long non-coding RNA is filed under the name Homo sapiens (human). Its description in RNAcentral is "non-protein coding SNHG5:1". Lineage: Eukaryota; Metazoa; Chordata; Mammalia; Primates; Hominidae. The record is from RNAcentral.